This is a small nucleolar RNA of Capsicum annuum, 107 nucleotides long. The record is from RefSeq and is a predicted model, not a curated record. NCBI's taxonomy places the organism in Eukaryota, Viridiplantae, Streptophyta, Magnoliopsida, Solanales, Solanaceae.
UGAUGAUGGUAAGGGUAAUUUCUAAGAAUACCCUUUAAUCUCUCCCAAGCUUGGUAGAGAUUCUCUCGAUCUUUCUGUUUAAAACUCAAGAUUUCACUCCUCAAGUG